This 2284-nucleotide long non-coding RNA is filed under the name Marmota monax (woodchuck). The record is from RNAcentral. Lineage: Eukaryota; Metazoa; Chordata; Mammalia; Rodentia; Sciuridae.
CAUGAAUUUUAGCUAACACAAUAUAAUAUCACACCUAAAACAUGAAUUAAAGAAAAGCUGAAAGCUUUUAACCUUUUGUAGAAAAGUAGCAAAGUACUUUUGUGUUUUGCAAUAAAACCUUUACAUAGAUUAGGCUCUCAUUAACUUAAAAAUACAUUUAAAUUGUAUCUCAGUGUAAAAAGUAACAUAGAACUUUACAUAACUUAUUGAUAACAAGUCCAGUUAUAGAACACAAAUGAUAUAAAUAAAUCUCCAACAUGUUUCUUUUAAGCCUAAAAUUACCAUAUAACUUUAGAACACAGCUUGAUAUAAUGCUCUUUCUAAAGCUUCUACCUUACAGACUUGUAUACCUGGAAGAUAUGAACACAUUAAUAGCACCACAAUUACAUUGAUGUUUUUAUAUUAACCAAGUUUAGCUUUUAAAGAAAUAACAUAGCACAAUUCUCUAAAACAACAGCACUUGUUUAACCAGCUGUUUAAUUUCUUUAAGAUUACUUGCUCAAAAACUUACACUUAUAACCAACUUACACAGACCUUCUUUAUAUCACUUACUUAAACCCUCUUAAUUACUUAAUCAUAUAGACUCUUAUCCAGAAACACAUUUUCCCUCUGUUAAAUCCAUACCUAGAAACUUUUAAUUUCUCUUUUUCAUCUGUUAAUCUCCUUCUGUUCACAUUUUGAAACAAUACUUGUAAAUUUUUGAAUUUAGGCAGAUUAUUUCAUAGACAUCAACAUUUUAUUAGGGCCUUUUUUGAACACCUAGAAAAACUUAUAAGAUUAAUUUUAAAGACGUCUUUACUUUUAUCUGUUUACCUCAUUUAAAUUGAACCAUUUGAAUCAUGUGAAUCAAAGAUAUUUGGAUCCAUUUUUUUUUUUAAUUUUUCAUGAGUGCUCCUCAUAUCUAUCAGUUGUCAUAUCACUGCAUGAUAUAUGGACAUACACACAUACAGACAUACCGACAUACAACACGUAACACAAGUGUAACACAUAACACAAUAGUAAAGGCCUUGUAGCUUUUCUCAGGUGAAAUCUCAUUGCAAUGUUUAAAAAAAACUCCAGUUGAUCAAAAAUAGAACUUAUCAGAAAAACAUUAACUUGUCUGUAGGAUCAAAAUCGUGAGCUCAAAAAAAAUACAGAAUCUAAGAAAAGGCAAAAGUCCUAGGAAAAAAUUGACCGGCCAGUAAUUAGUAAAUGCCAUACAAUUUACUCUUUGGUUUAAUCUAGUUUGAGUUCAGAUAAAAGACACCUUUACUUUUUUUUUCCUUGGGCCUCAGAUCUGUCUCCUUCUGAGCUCCAGGCUUCUUCUAUUUGCAUUUCAACUUAAAUCCUGCCUGAGGUCUGGAAGGAGCAAGAAAAGCUGGAAUUUCGAGGAGAAGCCUCAUGGCCAUAAGGCACAAUUUUCAGGUUUGGAUGUUGAAAAUUAUGAUACAAGUUUAAGAUACAAUUCUCAAAAUUUCAUACCUUUACAUCUUCCUACACUAGAAAAACUUGCUCACACAAAACUGAAAAUAGGAUCUUAUUUAAUGAUAUAAAGGCUACCAUCAGAAGAAAUUUCUUCAGGAUCAUUAAACCACUUUCUUUGUUCUGAAGUUCCUAAAGUAGUAUUAAGUUACAUUAAAUCACCUGAAAAAAAUUUUAAAAGAGAACCACACACUACCAUGUAUAUCCAAAAUUAAGCUUUGAAAAUUCCCAAGACUGUUGCUAUUCAAUGUCAUUUCAAUAAGCCAGACCAACGUUCCAAUUCAACACUUUUUUCCUAAAUCUUGCACACUGAGAGGAACAGAUACCAAAUCAUAAUUUACUAUCCUUGCCCAAAUUAAUGCACUGGUACACCUAGUGAAAUCUUCUCAGGCUACCUAGUUCAAAAAUUGAUGAAAAAAAUAAAACUAAAUGAUUGGGAGUUACUUGCCAACUUGGAAGUAGAGUUCGUUAAUUUUCCAUCCUAAGUAUUUAAGUUUCUAGCAUGAACUAUCUGAAAUCACAAAGUAAACAAUUGCCUAAACCCAACUUUUAACUGCAAGAUUAUGCAAUGCUUCAAACUCAUUUAGAUACCAGAUGUUACAAUGAAACAUCAUCUUUUAGACACACAUUUAGCCUAGAUUAUCCCCAGAAAACAAUCUAUAAUAACCUUUAAAACAGGCCAGAUAAGAAAAAAAUCUCUCCAGGUUUUUAACUCCCAUUUAAUUAUGACUUCUACAUCAGUGGCACCAUAGAUUUCCCAAUGAGUGGACCAGAUGUUCUCACAUAGGGGCAACUAUAGGUGUAAAAUCAAGGGUCUCAGUGU